Cygnus olor (mute swan) is the source of this 458-nucleotide long non-coding RNA. RefSeq lists it as uncharacterized. The transcript has 3 exons. The record is from RefSeq and is a predicted model, not a curated record. NCBI's taxonomy places the organism in Eukaryota, Metazoa, Chordata, Aves, Anseriformes, Anatidae.
CUGGGUCAAGGUGGGCCCUCCCCAUAUACAAAGCUCAAAGUUUGCUGUAUGUAGCAUCCUGUAAUUCACCUGUUCGUAUCGGUAGUGACACCUGCCACUGUUAGUGUCUGCUCGCACAGAGGAAACCACCAGAGGCAUCCACCGCUGGGCUUGCCAUGCCUGGGAUGUAGUGGCAAACUGCUUGCCCAGAAUAUGCCAGGGGAACCAGGAGCACUAGCAGCUCAGGGCCUCAUGUAGGAUAACAGAAGGGCAGUGCUGGAGAUCCCAGGUCAGAAGAAAACGAGGAGUGUUCGUUCAGCUUUCAUGCAACACAUUGAGUCACCAUAUUAUUUUUUGCUGCUGAAAUAAGGCCUGGUUCACUUCACAAAUUAGCAGAAUGCUUUAGGCUGGAGGGGAUUUCUGGAAAACAUCUGGGCCAACCCCUACUCAAGCAGGGCCACCAAGAACAGGUUGCCCAG